UAGGGAAUCUUCCGCAAUGGACGCAAGGCUGACGGAGCAACGCCGCGUGAGUGAAGAAGGAUUUCGGUUCGUAAAAAUCUGUUGUUAGAGAAGAACAGCGCAUAGAGUAACUGUUAUGCGUGUGACGGUAUCUAACCAGAAAGCAACGGCUAACUACGUGCCAGCAGCCGAGGUAAUACGGAGGUGGCAAGCGUUGUCCGGAUUUAUUGGGCGUAAAGCGAGCGCAGGCGGUCCAUUAAGUCUGAUGUGAAAGCCCCCGGCUCAACCGGGGAGGGUCAUUGGAAACUGGUUGGCUUGAGUGCAGAAGAGGAGAGUGGAAUUCCAUGUGUAGCGGUGAAAUGCGUAGAUAUAUGGAGGAACACCAGUGGCGAAGGCGACUCUCUGGUCUGUAACUGACGCUGAGGCUCGAAAGCGUGGGUAGCAAACAGG
This 429-nucleotide ribosomal RNA is filed under the name Bacteroidota bacterium. Its description in RNAcentral is "Bacteroidetes bacterium partial 16S ribosomal RNA". It matches the Rfam family "Bacterial small subunit ribosomal RNA", at positions 355 to 776 of the family's 1533-position model. The record is from RNAcentral. Lineage: Bacteria; Pseudomonadati; Bacteroidota.